GAGGAAUGUAUAGCAAUAGCUAGUUGUAUCAUUAGAAAUAUGAUGCAAGAUCGACUAUGUUGAAUAAAAUUCUAGGUAGAAUUAUGAUAAUGACAUUGUCUGCCUAUGUGUCUUGACCAAAUUACGUGCCAGCAGUCGCGGUAAUACGUAGAAGACUAGUGUUAUUCAUGUUUAAUCGGUUUAAAGGGUACCUAGACGGUAAAUCAAGCCUACAUAAGAAGUGAAAGGGACUAGUUUACUAGAGUUACUUAUGAGGGGGUAUUAAAGUACUGCUGGUGUAGAGAUGAAAUUCUGUCAUACCUCUUUUCAAUAGAAAAAUGACGGCACAGGUAUAGGCGAAAGCAUCCCCUUAUGUGAUAACUGACGUUGAGGGACGAAGGCUUUGUGUAGCGAACAGGAUUAGAUACCCCAGUAGUCAAAGCAGAAAAUGAUGAAUGUCAUAGAUUAGAUAAAUAAGUUUAUUCUAUAAAUGAAAGUGUAAGCAUUCCACCUCAAGAGUAAUUUGGCAACAUUGGAACUGAAAUCAUUAGACCGUUUCUGAAACCAG
RNAcentral lists this ribosomal RNA (547 nucleotides) under Pannoparmelia angustata. Its description in RNAcentral is "SSU rRNA". It matches the Rfam family "Bacterial small subunit ribosomal RNA", at positions 356 to 929 of the family's 1533-position model. Lineage: Eukaryota; Fungi; Ascomycota; Lecanoromycetes; Lecanorales; Parmeliaceae. The record is from RNAcentral.